GCGACUUAAGCUUGUGCUCCCUAGUGCACCUGGACUCAUGAAGGAUGUUUCUGGUGACUCGGGGAAAUAACCAAAAGGCCUAUCAAGAGGAACACCGGAUGGAGCAGAUCCCACGUGAUGGUGAUGAGAACCCAGCAAAGAACCAUGGUGUCUAGCAUAUGGAAAACCUUGUCCUUGCCCAUUAGAAGUAAAUGGCUGUCCCGCAGAUGGUGUCGGCCAAGCUGAAGAAUUGGAACGUUCAGCAUAGGGGGUUGGGCUUCCCCAUAGGAACUGAGGACCAGAUAACGUCCCAAUACUGGAUGAAUUGGAAUUCAAGUCAGCAACA
This 325-nucleotide unclassified non-coding RNA is filed under the name Hevea brasiliensis (rubber tree). Lineage: Eukaryota; Viridiplantae; Streptophyta; Magnoliopsida; Malpighiales; Euphorbiaceae. The record is from RNAcentral.